This 313-nucleotide small nuclear RNA is filed under the name Camelus bactrianus (Bactrian camel). RNAcentral's name for it is "7SK RNA". It matches the Rfam family "7SK RNA". From Rfam's summary of the family: 7SK was discovered as an abundant small nuclear RNA in the mid-70s but a possible function has only recently been suggested. Two independent studies have found that 7SK RNA binds the CDK9/cyclin T complex (known as elongation factor P-TEFb). Lineage: Eukaryota; Metazoa; Chordata; Mammalia; Artiodactyla; Camelidae. RNAcentral also lists the same sequence under 2 other names. The record is from Rfam by way of RNAcentral.
AGAUGUGAAGAUAAUCUGGCUGCCCACAUCCUUCACAGCAUUAUUCAACAAAGUAGGGCCAACUAAUUUGACUGGUUAUUUGAUGUCUCUUCCCUAACUCACAAUUUUCCAUUUGGGUCCCUUGGAAAUCUUAGAACUUUUUUGAGAAGAGUUCCUUCUGAGAUAAAGGUGGACCAUUUUUUGAUUAAGGACAUGGGAGUAGUUAUGUUACCCUACUCAGAUUUCAAACAUACUCAUAGAUCUGUAAAGCAAUAAAAAUCUACCAGUUUACCUAGUUUCAGACUGCCUUUUUGCAUAUAAUUUGCAAAACUGU